GCUUACGGCCACACCGCGUGGUUCACGCCUUGAUCUCGGAAGCUAAGAUAGGUUGGGCCUGGUUAGUACUUGGAUGGGAGACCGCCUGGGAAUACCAGGUGCUGUAAGCU
Scophthalmus maximus (turbot) is the source of this 110-nucleotide ribosomal RNA. The record is from Ensembl. Lineage: Eukaryota; Metazoa; Chordata; Actinopteri; Pleuronectiformes; Scophthalmidae.